UGGGACUGAGACACGGCCCAAACUCCUACGGGAGGCAGCAGUGGGGAAUAUUGCACAAUGGGCCAAACCCUGAUGCAGCGACGCCGCGUGAGUGAAGAAGUAUCUCGGUAUGUAAAGCUCUAUCAGCAGGGAAGAAAAUGACGGUACCUGACUAAGAAGCCCCGGCUAACUACGUGCCAGCAGCCGCGGUAAUACGUAGGGGGC
This 204-nucleotide ribosomal RNA is filed under the name uncultured bacterium. Its description in RNAcentral is "partial 16S ribosomal RNA". It matches the Rfam family "Bacterial small subunit ribosomal RNA", at positions 314 to 535 of the family's 1533-position model. The record is from RNAcentral.